Molecule: ribosomal RNA, 775 nt
Filed under: uncultured Neocallimastigales
Lineage: Eukaryota; Fungi; Neocallimastigomycota; Neocallimastigomycetes; Neocallimastigales
Description: partial large subunit ribosomal RNA
Rfam family: Eukaryotic large subunit ribosomal RNA
Source: RNAcentral
UAUGUGAUCGUCUCUCGCAUAUCAAUAAGCGGAGGAAAAGAAACUAACAAGGAUUCCCCUAGUAACGGCGAGUGAAGCGGGAAGAGCUCAAAUUUGAAAUCUUAAAGGGUUUCCCUUUACGAAUUGUAGUUUAAAGAAGUGUUUUCUGUUGAGGUUUUGGUAAAAGUUCUUUGGAAUAGGACAUUCAUAGAGGGUGAGAAUCCCGUAUUUGACCUUUACUUUCAACUUUGUGAUACACUUUCAAAGAGUCGGAUUGUUUGGGAAUGCAGUCCAAAAUGGGUGGUAAAUUUCAUCUAAAGCUAAAUAUUGGCGAGAGACCGAUAGCGAACAAGUACCGUGAGGGAAAGAUGAAAAGAACUUUGAAAAGAGAGUUAAACAGUACGUGAAAUUGUCAAAAGGGAAGCGUUUGACACCAGUGUUGUUUUUCUGAAAAUCAAUUAAAGAACUGUUUAUGCUAAGCUGUUUAGACUUUAUCAGCUAACUGUUUAGUUUUGAGCUUUUCUUUAAUGCACUUUUCAGUUAACAAGUCAACAUCAAUUUCUUUUGCUGUAAAAAAGCUUGAGGAAGGUGGCUUGAGAUUCGUCUUAAGUGUUUAUAGCCUCUUGCCUAUGCAGUCGGAGAGAUUGAGGUCUGCAGCGUAGAUCCUUCGGGGCUAAAUGCAUUUGUGCUAAGUUAUAACAUUUUAUAGACAACUUGUUGACUAUGAUUUGUCUUGUAGCUUACUCGCUUAUGUUAUUUUACCUACGCUUAGGAUGUUGAGUAGCGACAUACGCAC